Molecule: ribosomal RNA, 562 nt
Filed under: uncultured bacterium
Lineage: Bacteria
Description: bacterial SSU rRNA
Rfam family: Bacterial small subunit ribosomal RNA
Source: RNAcentral
UUGGUANUGGCCGAAAGGCUGAACCAGCAACGCCGCGUGAGGGAUGAAGAUCCAAGGAUCGUAAACCUCUGUUAGAAGGGACGAACAAUCCCCUGGUGAAUAGCUAGGGGGCCUGACGGUACCUUCAGAGAAAGCCCCGGCUAACUCCGUGCCAGCAGCCGCGGUAAUACGGGGGGGGCAAGCGUUGUCCGGAAUUAUUGGGCGUAAAGGGCGCGUAGGUGGAAUGGUAAGUUGAGGGUGAAAGCCCGGGGCUUAACUCCGGGUCUGCCUUCAAGACUGUCAUUCUUGAGUAUGGAAGAGGGAAGUGGAAUUCCCGGUGUAGCGGUGAAAUGCGUAGAUAUCGGGAAGAACACCGGUAGCGAAGGCGGCUUCCUGGUCCAUUACUGACACUGAGGCGCGAAAGUGUGGGGAGCAAACAGGAUUAGAUACCCUGGUAGUCCACACGGUAAACGAUGGGCACUAGGUGUUGGAGGGCUCGACCCCUUCAGUGCCGCAGCUAACGCAUUAAGUGCCCCGCCUGGGGAGUACGGCCGCAAGGUUGAAACUCAAAGAAAUUGACGGA